Molecule: unclassified non-coding RNA, 250 nt
Filed under: plant metagenome
Description: partial contains small subunit ribosomal RNA, internal transcribed spacer 1, and 5.8S ribosomal RNA
Rfam family: 5.8S ribosomal RNA (bases 167-250)
Source: RNAcentral
GUAGGUGAACCUGCGGAAGGAUCAUUACUGAUUUGCUUAAUUGCACCACAUGUGUUUUUCUUUGAAACAAACUUGCUUUGGCGGUGGGCCCAGCCUGCCGCCAGAGGUCUAAACUUACAACCAAUUUUUUAUCAACUUGUCACACCAGAUUAUUACUAAUAGUCAAAACUUUCAACAACGGAUCUCUUGGUUCUCGCAUCGAUGAAGAACGCAGCAUCUGACUGACUAUUCAGCACCAGAUCUCGUAUGC